UACGUAGGGGGCUAGCGUUGUCCGGAAUCAUUGGGCGUAAAGCGCGCGUAGGCGGCCCGGUAAGUCCGCUGUAAAAGUCAAAGGCUCAACCUUUGAAUGUCAGUGGAUACUGCCGGGCUAGAGUCCGGAAGAGGCGAGUGGAACUCCUGGUGUAGCGGUGGAAUGCGCAGAUAUCAGGAAGAACACCGGUGGCGAAGGCGGGUCUCUGGGCCGAAAUUGACGCUGAGGAGCGAAAGCGUGGGGAGCAAACAGG
RNAcentral lists this ribosomal RNA (253 nucleotides) under uncultured bacterium. RNAcentral's name for it is "partial 16S ribosomal RNA". It matches the Rfam family "Bacterial small subunit ribosomal RNA", at positions 524 to 776 of the family's 1533-position model. The record is from RNAcentral.